This 284-nucleotide ribosomal RNA is filed under the name Clostridioides difficile. RNAcentral's name for it is "partial 16S ribosomal RNA". It matches the Rfam family "Bacterial small subunit ribosomal RNA", at positions 459 to 743 of the family's 1533-position model. The record is from RNAcentral. Lineage: Bacteria; Bacillati; Bacillota; Clostridia; Peptostreptococcales; Peptostreptococcaceae.
AAGGAAGAUAAUGACGGUACUUGAGGAGGAAGCCCCGGCUAACUACGUGCCAGCAGCCGCGGUAAUACGUAGGGGGCUAGCGUUAUCCGGAUUUACUGGGCGUAAAGGGGGCGUAGGCGGUCUUUCAAGUCAGGAGUGAAAGGCUACGGCUCAACCGUAGUAAGCUCUUGAAACUGGGAGACUUGAGUGCAGGAGAGGAGAGUGGAAUUCCUAGUGUAGCGGUGAAAUGCGUAGAUAUUAGGAGGAACACCAGUUGCGAAGGCGGCUCUCUGGACUGUAACUGA